RNAcentral lists this long non-coding RNA (1493 nucleotides) under Gallus gallus (chicken). Lineage: Eukaryota; Metazoa; Chordata; Aves; Galliformes; Phasianidae. The record is from RNAcentral.
GUGGGAGACUGAAGCUGCAAUACAGGAGGCAGCUCUUUGUAGGUAAAGUGCCUUAUUUUCUUUGAGCUUUCCUUCCUUCCUUUAGAUGACAGUGGGGGGAGGGAAGGAAUACCAGUUUUAUGGGGGGGAAAAAAACGUAGAGAACGAAUCAAUACUUAUGCAGAUCCUGGAUAAGGUUAAGGCACAGACUAAUAACCCAGCACAGCAACCCGCCCCCCCCACCAACAAAAAAGUGUCAAAAGAGAAGGGAAAAACCUGUUCAUACGCUUUCAACACCAUCCCCUGGAGAUCCCAAGUGUAAACGGUUUUAUCUACAGAAAGGCAUUUUACUCGGGCUGCAGUAAUCGGGGUUGAUUACAGCCACUCUGCGAAGCCAGCGGCGUGCGUGCGGGUGGGCGAGCGCCGUCUGAGCCCUCGGUUUAGACGAGUUCAACUUUAGCGUUGGGAUAAACAGCCACCACGUCAUAGCCCUCGGGGGGCUUAACCCUCUCCUUGGCGUGCGUCUCGCAAUACAGCUGCUCCUCGAUGAAGAAAUAGCCCCUCUGCUUCAGGUUGAGGCCGCAGUCGUCGCACAUGAAGCACUCGGGGUGGUAGAGCUUGUCGCGGGCUUUGACGAUGGUCCCCACGAUCCCAUUGCCACAUCUCGUGCACUCGGGGAGCAUCUGCAGCCCGGACAUGGCAGCGCCCAGCUUCGGUCCUGCAGGUUUGAUGCUCCGAGGGUUGCUCAGUCUGUCGAGUUUUUCACCGUUCUCCCCAGCCUCCAGCAUGCCCUGCAGGUAGCGGAAGGACCCCGACUGCUUGGGCUCUGAGGCAGGCCUCUCGUAAUCCUGGAGCAUCUUGUAGACAUCUGACUCCACAUCGAUCCCGUUUCUGUUCCGUGGGAGGGACUUUAAGGGGUCGGUGCUUUGGGAGGGAGAGAUGUGCAGCCCACUGAGCUGCAGCGGCAAGGCGGCAUCGGCGCUGCUGCUGGCAUGCGGCCGGCUGGGCUGGGGGUGCUGCAGGCUCAGUGCCGGCCUGCUGUCCACUGGGCUCCCACCUGCAGCGUGGGGCAUGGGCCUCUUGCCCACUGCAGGGCCGUUAUCCUGCGGCUCAGGCUCAAUAUUGAUGCGGUAAGCUUGUGCCUUCCCAUCCUCCAGUAUGGGUGGUGACCAGCUCCUCUCCUCAGCUCUGCUCACAGACAGCAGCAGCUGCUCCACACACGCCUUGAUCUUGUUCUGAGCCUCCAGGUGCGUCAUGGCUUCUGUGCUCUCCCCAUUAAUGGCCAGAAUGAUGUCUCCUGGGCACAGGUUGGCCAGGGCUGCUUUACUUCCAGGGUUAAUCCUGGAGAUGGUCAGCGGCGUGCUGAAGUCCUUACCGCCCACCAGGCGGAAACCCCACGGCGAGGGGCCGCGCAGGGCCACCGAGUGCGGCAUAGCGGGGUUGGGGCUCCGUGCCCAGCGCUGCGCUCCGCUCCCGCCCGCCGCCGCCGCAUCCACUUAAAGCGGCUCCGAGGC